CAGAGGUCUGGUCCCAGCCUUGAAAUCAAUUCUUACUUUAUUUAUACAUGCAAGUCUCCGCCCCCCUGUGAAAACGCCCUUAAAUCCCCUUAGGACUAAGGAGCCGGUAUCAGGCACAAUUUUUAGCCCAAGACACCUAGCUACGCCACACCCACAAGGGUACUCAGCAGUAAUCAACAUUGAACAUAAGCGCCAGCUUGAUUCAGUUAAAGUAAAGAGGGCCGGCAAAUCUGGUGCCAGCCGCCGCGGUUACACCAUGAGACCCAAAUUGAUUUCUUUCGGCGUAAAGCGUGAUUAAAGUAACAUUACACUGUAGUUAAACUAAAACUUAGUCGUGAUAAGCUUUUAUUUAGGAAACCCAUAAACGAAAGUUACUACACUCAAAACAACUUGAAUUCACAACAGCUAAGACACAAACUAGGAUUAGAUACCCUACUAUGCUUAGCCGUAAACUUUUAAUUACACCCACAACGCCAGGGUACUACGAGCAAAGCUUAAAACCCAAGGGACUUGACGGUACCCCAUAUCCCCCUAGAGGAGCCUGUCCUAUAAUCGAUAAUCCCCGUUUAACCUCACCAUCUUUAGCCUAAUCAGUCUGUAUACCUCCGUCGCCAAUCUACCACGUGAGCGUUUCAUAGUAAAUUAAAUGUUCUCCUAUUCAAACAUACGUCAGGUCAAGGUGCAGCAAAUAAGAUGGGAAGAGAUGGGCUACACUCUCUAACUUAGAAUACACGGAAAACUCGUCAUGAAAAGAGUUUGAAGGCGGAUUUAGUAGUAAGAAGAACUCAGAGUGCUCUUCUUAAACUGGCACUGGGGUGUGUACACACCGCCCGUCACCCUCUUCGCAGCACACACACAGUACUUAACAAAUCACUGCAUAAAAGAAGAGGCAAGUCGUAACAUGGUAAGUAUACCGGAAGGUGUGCUUGGAAA
Molecule: non-coding RNA, 933 nt
Filed under: Bokermannohyla alvarengai (Santa Barbara treefrog)
Lineage: Eukaryota; Metazoa; Chordata; Amphibia; Anura; Hylidae
Description: 12S ribosomal RNA
Rfam family: Bacterial small subunit ribosomal RNA
Source: RNAcentral